UCUUCAUGUCUGUGUGAUAAUACUGCCGUGUGUUCACACCUCUGAAGGACAGAAACACUGUCUAGGAUUCCAGCUGAUUACUGAGGAUAACUCUGAUCCAAAAUAAUCAAAUAAGCUGCAUAAAAGAGACCAGCAGCAGCCGAUAAGACGAUCAAACCCAUCAUCAUCUCCAGCCUCGUGGAAUAAAAUAAGAUCACAGAUGACAAAAAUUAUCUCGCGGUUUCUUCUCCUUCUCAUUUCUCACAUCAAAAAAGCAAUCUCUGAAAUUAAACGCCUUAUCUCCGGAACAAAGGAAGAAUUCGUUUGAUAAAGAUGAGAACGGGCCGAUGCUAUCUGUCCGAGCUCGGAAACGGGGGAAAUGUACUAAUUAAACAAAUUUUAAUAUUUCCAUUUAAGUUGUCAUGCUUUAGCUGUAAGCCAUUAAAAAACGCAAGAAAUUCUCAUUUCUGUCAAACACAUCUCUGAAAGAGAGAGAGAGGCUUACUGGGUCAGGCAGGAUUUCCCCGGUUUAUCCCGUAAACACGCGGGAGUUGGGCUCGGACAGAAAAAUGAACUGACAUCAUACACGCAUUCCAGGAUUUCAAGCGGCCCGUGAAUCUGACGCACAACCCGCACGGGAUCAUGGGUCCACCUCACGAGCGCUUGCUCACGUCAUUGUUCGAAUAAGUAACAGCAGGUUGUUUCGACCACGUAUCUCCAAGAUCUGGAAUGAAAUAGACUACCCCUCUGAGGAGCUGCUGAUAGUUCUUACUCGUUACAAACCGCAUGCUCUUAUCUGAACACUAAAGGAGAUUUUAAGAAGAAUUUUAUCAAGUGAAAAAAAAAAUAUUGUAUUGUCUGAUUGUUUUUAUGAAAUAUAUAAAAUAUAUAUUAAGAAUAUAUUUAAAAUAUAUUCAUAUUUUAAAACAAUCUUGCAUAUUGUCACACCCUGGACUCAUUAUGUUGUGUUUUCCCUCCAUGUGUUCCCGAGGAUUAAUCGCCACUCCGGACCCAGAGCCCAGCCCACCAUUUCACCAAUGCGUGGAGCACAUGCCCAAGCCCACCGCUGACAGAGAGCCAGAGCCCGCCACACCCAACGAGCCAUCGCCGCAUGGAGCAACAGGACUGAGGAUGGCCAUCGUGCAAGUGCAGCGGAAGACGUCAGUCAAGGUGUGUGAGCCGGCAACAGCGCCUGUGAUGAGGGAGAGUGAUACGGACGGUGUGAGCGAGGAGAGGAGCUCCGCCCCCUGCACCCCAGCUGAGGGUGAGCUGACUAUGGUGCAGCAAAAGGGCCAAAAUGAGGAGGAGGAUCUCAUUGACUGGGAAUCUGAUCUGGAGAUUGAACUGCCCCCUCUCUGUUGUCUCCUCUGGUCCCGUCCAGCCCUCCUUCGUCGAUGGCAUUAACCCGUCGGCUCCACCAUGGCUCCUAGCUCCCUCCUGUCCGCCGUGGCCCGGCAGUUCACAAGCUCGGCCUGGCUCCCUCAUCCCUCUGGCUCCACCUUGGUCUGACGUCGACCAUCCUGCGCCUCAGGACUCCACCCCUCUAGCUCCGUCGUCCACUCGGCUCCACCUCAGUCCUCUGUCGCUCCGGCUCCACCACGGCCUCCUGGAUCCACAUCUCCGCAUUGGUCGCCAGCGCCAUCCACUCCGCCUAGGACCUCUGGAUCCUCCCAGGCACCCUGUUUCUUCGGCUCUUCGCCUCGGGCUCUUCUACCAAGUGCUCCGCCGCCGUUGGUCUGCCUCCUGGAGUCGGUGGCCACUCCCCCUCCAUGGCUCCUCCCUCCGUCGGCUCCACCGUAGGCCGCUGUUAUGACUGGACUCCUCCUGCUCCAAGCUCC
Long non-coding RNA from Cyprinus carpio carpio, 1817 nucleotides. Lineage: Eukaryota; Metazoa; Chordata; Actinopteri; Cypriniformes; Cyprinidae. The record is from Ensembl.